GACGAACGCUGGCGGCGUGCCUAAUACAUGCAAGUAGAACGCUGAGGACUGGUGCUUGCACUGGUCUAAGGAGUUGCGAACGGGUGAGUAACGCGUAGGUAACCUACCUCAUAGCGGGGGAUAACUAUUGGAAACGAUAGCUAAUACCGCAUGACAAUAGGGUACACAUGUACCCUAUUUAAAAGGGGCAAAUGCUUCACUAUGAGAUGGACCUGCGUUGUAUUAGCUAGUUGGUAAGGUAACGGCCCACCAAGGCGACGAUCGGUAGCCGGACUGAGAGGUUGAACGGCCACAUUGGGACUGAGACACGGCCCAG
This 316-nucleotide ribosomal RNA is filed under the name uncultured bacterium. Its description in RNAcentral is "bacterial SSU rRNA". It matches the Rfam family "Bacterial small subunit ribosomal RNA", at positions 28 to 334 of the family's 1533-position model. The record is from RNAcentral.